AGUGAACGCUGGCGGUAGGCCUAACACAUGCAAGUCGAACGGCAGCACAGUAAGAGCUUGCUCUUACGGGUGGCGAGUGGCGGACGGGUGAGGAAUACAUCGGAAUCUACUUUUUCGUGGGGGAUAACGUAGGGAAACUUACGCUAAUACCGCAUACGACCUACGGGUGAAAGCAGGGGAUCUUCGGACCUUGCGCGAUUGAAUGAGCCGAUGUCGGAUUAGCUAGUUGGCGGGGUAAAGGCCCACCAAGGCGACGAUCCGUAGCUGGUCUGAGAGGAUGAUCAGCCACAAUGGAACUGAGACACGGUCCAGACGCCUACGGGAGGCAGCAGUGGGGAAUAUUGGACAAUGGGAGCAAGCCUGAUCCAGCCAUACCGCGUGGGUGAAGAAGGCCUUCGGGUUGUAAAGCCCUUUUGUUGGGAAAGAAAAGCAGCAGGUUAAUACCCCGCUGUUCUGACGGUACCCAAAGAAUAAGCACCGGCUAACUUCGUG
This 492-nucleotide ribosomal RNA is filed under the name uncultured bacterium. RNAcentral describes it as "partial 16S ribosomal RNA". It matches the Rfam family "Bacterial small subunit ribosomal RNA", at positions 29 to 507 of the family's 1533-position model. The record is from RNAcentral.